RNAcentral lists this ribosomal RNA (1951 nucleotides) under metagenome. RNAcentral's name for it is "bacterial LSU rRNA". It matches the Rfam family "Bacterial large subunit ribosomal RNA", at positions 1093 to 2925 of the family's 2925-position model. The record is from RNAcentral.
CCAGGAGGUUGGCUUAGAAGCAGCCAUCCUUGAAAGAGUGCGUAAUAGCUCACUGGUCGAGUGGUUCUGCGCCGACAAUGUAGUGGGGCUCAAGUACACCGCCGAAGCCGCGGCAAUCACCAUUUUGUGGUGGUUGGGUAGGGGAGCGUCGCGUAUGUGCUGUGAAGCGCUGGGGUGACCCUAGUGUGGAGUGUGCGCGAGUGAGAAUGCAGGCAUGAGUAGCGAAUGAGGAGUGGAAAACUCCUCCGCCGAAUGACUAAGGGUUCCUGGGCCAGGUUAAUCCUCCCAGGGUGAGUCGGGGCCUAAGGCGAGGCCGACAGGCGUAGUCGAUGGAUAACGGGUUGAUAUUCCCGUACCCGUGUGUCCGCGCCCAUGGUGAAUCAGGGAUACUAACCCACCUGAACACGCGCCGUUUACUAGCCUUUUAGGUUGGUUGGUGUGUGUGAUGCUGGGGACCUGAACUGGUAGUAGCCAAGUGAUGGGGUGACGCAGGAAGGUAGCCGUGCCACGUGAUGGAUAUCGUGGUGUAAGCGUGUGGCCCGUGUUCUAGGUAAAUCCGGAGCACAUUCAAGGGUGAGGCGUGAUGCGUACCCGUUUUUGGGGAAGUUGGUGAUCCUAUGCUGCCGAGAAAAGCCUCUAGCGAUGUGGAUAUACGGCCCGUACCCGAAACCGACACAGGUAGUCAGGUAGAGAAUACUAAGGCGAUCGGGAUAACUGUGGUUAAGGAACUCGGCAAAAUGCCCCCGUAACUUCGGGAGAAGGGGGGCCAUGACUGGUGACCGACGUGGUUGAGCUGGUUGUGGCCGCAGAGAAUAGAGGGAAGCGACUGUUUACUAAAAACACAGGUCCGUGCGAAGACAUUUAAGUCGAGGUAUACGGACUGACGCCUGCCCGGUGCUGGAAGGUUAAGAGGACCUGUUAGGCCGCCUUUGGUGGUCGAAGCGGAGAAUUUAAGCCCCAGUAAACGGCGGUGGUAACUAUAACCAUCCUAAGGUAGCGAAAUUCCUUGUCGGGUAAGUUCCGACCUGCACGAAUGGCGUAACGACUUCUCUGCUGUCUCAACCACAGGCCCGGUGAAAUUGCACUACGAGUAAAGAUGCUCGUUACGCGCGGCAGGACGAAAAGACCCCGGGACCUUCACUAUAGCUUGGUAUUGGUGUUCGGUUCGGUUUGUGUAGGAUAGGUGGGAGACUGUGAUGCCUCAACGCCAGUUGGGGUGGAGUCGUUGUUGAAAUACCACUCUGAUCGUAUUGGACAUCUCAACCUCGGCCCGUGAUCCGGGUUAGGGACAGUGCCUGGUGGGUAGUUUAACUGGGGCGGUUGCCUCCCAAAGAGUAACGGAGGCGCCCAAAGGUUCCCUCAGCCUGGUUGGCAAUCAGGUGUUGAGUGUAAGUGCACAAGGGAGCUUGACUGUGAGACUGACAGGUCGAGCAGGUAGGAAACUAGGGACUAGUGAUCCGGCACCGGCUUGUGGAAGCGGUGUCGCUCAACGGAUAAAAGGUACCCCGGGGAUAACAGGCUGAUCUUCCCCAAGAGUCCAUAUCGACGGGAUGGUUUGGCACCUCGAUGUCGGCUCGUCGCAUCCUGGGGCUGGAGUAGGUCCCAAGGGUUGGGCUGUUCGCCCAUUAAAGCGGCACGCGAGCUGGGUUCAGAACGUCGUGAGACAGUUCGGUCUCUAUCCGCCGCGCGCGUUGAAACUUGAAGAAGGCUGUCCCUAGUACGAGAGGACCGGGACGGACGUACCUCUGGUGUGCCAGUUGUUCCGCCAGGAGCACGGCUGGUUGGCUACGUACGGAAGGGAUAACCGCUGAAAGCAUCUAAGCGGGAAGCCUGUUCCAAGAUUAGGUUUCUUUUGAGGUCCCCUAUAGAUGAUGGGGUUGAUAGGCCGGAUCUGGAAGCAUCGUAAGGUGUGGAGGUGACCGGUACUAAUAGACCAAACAUUCAACACACA